Poecilia formosa (Amazon molly) is the source of this 45-nucleotide non-coding RNA. The record is from Rfam. Lineage: Eukaryota; Metazoa; Chordata; Actinopteri; Cyprinodontiformes; Poeciliidae.
ACAAUGGCUCUUUUAAGAGCCACUCACAACAACUUAAAACCCUGA